GAGGUUGUAGCUUAGUAGUACAGUGCUUGCCUAGCAUGUAUGAGGCACUGGGUUCAAUCCUCAGCACCACA
RNAcentral lists this transfer RNA (71 nucleotides) under Marmota monax (woodchuck). RNAcentral's name for it is "tRNA.Ala". Lineage: Eukaryota; Metazoa; Chordata; Mammalia; Rodentia; Sciuridae. The record is from RNAcentral.